RNAcentral lists this ribosomal RNA (179 nucleotides) under Vibrio cholerae. Its description in RNAcentral is "partial 16S ribosomal RNA". It matches the Rfam family "Bacterial small subunit ribosomal RNA", at positions 1 to 172 of the family's 1533-position model. Lineage: Bacteria; Pseudomonadati; Pseudomonadota; Gammaproteobacteria; Vibrionales; Vibrionaceae. The record is from RNAcentral.
UUAAUUGAAGAGUUUGAUCAUGGCUCAGAUUGAACGCUGGCGGCAGGCCUAACACAUGCAAGUCGAGCGGCAGCACAGGGGAACUUGUUCCUUGGGUGGCGAGCGGCGGACGGGUGAGUAAUGCCUGGGAAAUUGCCCGGUAGAGGGGGAUAACCAUUGGAAACGAUGGCUAAUACCGC